UUAAGUUAGAAAGGGCGCACGGUGGAUGCCUUGACACUAGGAGUCGAUGAAGGACGGGACUAACGCCGAUAUGCUUCGGGGAGCUGUAAGUAAGCUUUGAUCCGAAGAUUUCCGAAUGGGGAAACCCACCAUACGUAAUGGUAUGGUAUCCUUAUCUGAAUACAUAGGGUAAGGAAGACAGACCCAGGGAACUGAAACAUCUAAGUACCUGGAGGAAGAGAAAGCAAAUGCGAUUUCCUGAGUAGCGGCGAGCGAAACGGAACAUAGCCCAAACCAAGAGGCUUGCCUCUUGGGGUUGUAGGACAUUCUAUACGGAGUUACAAAGGAACGAGGUAGACGAAGCGACCUGGAAAGGUCCGUCGUAGAGGGUAACAACCCCGUAGUCGAAACUUCGUUCUCUCUUGAAUGUAUCCUGAGUACGGCGGAACACGUGAAAUUCCGUCGGAAUCUGGGAGGACCAUCUCCCAAGGCUAAAUACUCCCUAGUGAUCGAUAGUGAACCAGUACCGUGAGGGAAAGGUGAAAAGCACCCCGGAAGGGGAGUGAAAGAGAUCCUGAAACCGUGUGCCUACAAAUAGUCAGAGCCCGUUAACGGGUGAUGGCGUGCCUUUUGUAGAAUGAACCGGCGAGUUACGAUCCCGUGCGAGGUUAAGCUGAAGAGGCGGAGCCGCAGCGAAAGCGAGUCUGAAUAGGGCGUUUAGUACGUGGUCGUAGACCCGAAACCAGGUGAUCUACCCAUGUCCAGGGUGAAGUUCAGGUAACACUGAAUGGAGGCCCGAACCCACGCACGUUGAAAAGUGCGGGGAUGAGGUGUGGGUAGCGGAGAAAUUCCAAUCGAACCUGGAGAUAGCUGGUUCUCCCCGAAAUAGCUUUAGGGCUAGCCUUAAGUGUAAGAGUCUUGGAGGUAGAGCACUGAUUGGACUAGGGGUCCUCAUCGGAUUACCGAAUUCAGUCAAACUCCGAAUGCCAAUGACUUAUCCUUAGGAGUCAGACUGCGAGUGAUAAGAUCCGUAGUCAAAAGGGAACAGCCCAGACCGCCAGCUAAGGUCCCAAAGUGUGUAUUAAGUGGAAAAGGAUGUGGAGUUGCUUAGACAACUAGGAUGUUGGCUUAGAAGCAGCCACCAUUUAAAGAGUGCGUAAUAGCUCACUAGUCGAGUGACUCUGCGCCGAAAAUGUACCGGGGCUAAAUACACCACCGAAGCUGCGGAUUGAUACCAAUGGUAUCAGUGGUAGGGGAGCGUUCUAAGGACAGUGAAGUCAGACCGGAAGGACUGGUGGAGUGCUUAGAAGUGAGAAUGCCGGUAUGAGUAGCGAAAGACGGGUGAGAAUCCCGUCCACCGAAUGCCUAAGGGUUCCUGAGGAAGGCUCGUCCGCUCAGGGUUAGUCAGGACCUAAGCCGAGGCCGACAGGCGUAGGCGAUGGACAACAGGUUGAUAUUCCUGUACCACCUCUUUAUCGUUUGAGCAAUGGAGGGACGCAGAAGGAUAGAAGAAGCGUGCGACUGGUUGUGCACGUCCAAGCAGUUAGGCUGAUAAGUAGGCAAAUCCGCUUAUCGUGAAGGCUGAGCUGUGAUGGGGAAGCUCCUUAUGGAGCGAAGUCUUUGAUUCCCCGCUGCCAAGAAAAGCUUCUAGCGAGAUAAAAGGUGCCUGUACCGCAAACCGACACAGGUAGGCGAGGAGAGAAUCCUAAGGUGUGCGAGAGAACUCUGGUUAAGGAACUCGGCAAAAUGACCCCGUAACUUCGGGAGAAGGGGUGCUUUCUUAACGGAAAGCCGCAGUGAAUAGGCCCAAGCGACUGUUUAGCAAAAACACAGCUCUCUGCGAAGCCGUAAGGCGAAGUAUAGGGGGUGACACCUGCCCGGUGCUGGAAGGUUAAGGAGAGGGGUUAGCGUAAGCGAAGCUCUGAACUGAAGCCCCAGUAAACGGCGGCCGUAACUAUAACGGUCCUAAGGUAGCGAAAUUCCUUGUCGGGUAAGUUCCGACCCGCACGAAAGGUGUAACGAUUUGGGCACUGUCUCAACCAGAGACUCGGUGAAAUUAUAGUACCUGUGAAGAUGCAGGUUACCCGCGACAGGACGGAAAGACCCCGUGGAGCUUUACUGUAGCCUGAUAUUGAAUUUUGGUACAGUUUGUACAGGAUAGGCGGGAGCCUUUGAAACCGGAGCGCUAGCUUCGGUGGAGGCGCUGGUGGGAUACCGCCCUGACUGUAUUGAAAUUCUAACCUACGGGUCUUAUCGACCCGGGAGACAGUGUCAGGUGGGCAGUUUGACUGGGGCGGUCGCCUCCUAAAGUGUAACGGAGGCGCCCAAAGGUUCCCUCAGAAUGGUUGGAAAUCAUUCGUAGAGUGCAAAGGCAUAAGGGAGCUUGACUGCGAGACCUACAAGUCGAGCAGGGACGAAAGUCGGGCUUAGUGAUCCGGUGGUUCCGCAUGGAAGGGCCAUCGCUCAACGGAUAAAAGCUACCCCGGGGAUAACAGGCUUAUCUCCCCAAGAGUCCACAUCGACGGGGAGGUUUGGCACCUCGAUGUCGGCUCAUCGCAUCCUGGGGCUGUAGUCGGUCCCAAGGGUUGGGCUGUUCGCCCAUUAAAGCGGUACGCGAGCUGGGUUCAGAACGUCGUGAGACAGUUCGGUCCCUAUCCGUCGUGGGCGUAGGAAAUUUGAGAGGAGCUGUCCUUAGUACGAGAGGACCGGGAUGGACGCACCGCUGGUGUACCAGUUGUUCUGCCAAGGGCAUAGCUGGGUAGCUAUGUGCGGAAGGGAUAAGUGCUGAAAGCAUCUAAGCAUGAAGCCCCCCUCAAGAUGAGAUUUCCCAUAGCGUAAGCUAGUAAGAUCCCUGAAAGAUGAUCAGGUUGAUAGGUUCGAGGUGGAAGCAUGGUGACAUGUGGAGCUGACGAAUACUAAUAGAUCGAGGACUUAACCAU
This 2918-nucleotide ribosomal RNA is filed under the name Bacillus anthracis (anthrax bacterium). RNAcentral describes it as "bacterial LSU rRNA". It matches the Rfam family "Bacterial large subunit ribosomal RNA". The record is from RNAcentral. Lineage: Bacteria; Bacillati; Bacillota; Bacilli; Caryophanales; Bacillaceae.